Neomonachus schauinslandi (Hawaiian monk seal) is the source of this 454-nucleotide long non-coding RNA. RefSeq lists it as uncharacterized. The transcript has 3 exons. The record is from RefSeq and is a predicted model, not a curated record. NCBI's taxonomy places the organism in Eukaryota, Metazoa, Chordata, Mammalia, Carnivora, Phocidae.
GACAUUUUGGACAUUGUCACACUAAGCUACUCUCUGGUCCCUGAUGCUGCAUGCUCUCACGGGGUGACUCUACACCUACUUUUAUCUUUUCCACACACCCUCUCUCGCAUGUUACCGCUCGUGAAGUGAUUACACCUGCUUCAAGACCAAAUCAAACUUCCUUUCCAGCCCUCCCAGCUGGGACGGUCAUGGCCAAUUUCACAGCAUCUGUCAAUAGACGACCACGGAGAUGUUGAUAAUGCAGCUGAUAAUGUCCUCAUACUUCACGUGGCUUCUGUGGUUACAGCUUAAAUCUCUAAUCACAGAACCUAAGCCAUCUCUACAACCCAGCCUGAAGAUGGGAGAGGGCAAGUAUCACGAAUUUCAGCCUUUCAGAUAGAAGGUUCUGACACCAACCGUACUGAUGCGCUGCAAGAUGUUCCUCUAUUAGUGAAGAGAGAGAUACAGCGAGAGA